AGUGAAUAGAUACCCUGGUAGUCCAUGCCGUAAACGAUGUCUACUAGCCGUUGGGGCCUUUGAGGCUUUAGUGGCGCAGCUAACGCGAUAAGUAGACCGCCUGGGGAGUACGGUCGCAAGACUAAAACUCAAAUGAAUUGACGGGGGCCCGCACAAGCGGUGGAGCAUGUGGUUUAAUUCGAUGCAACGCGAAGAACCUUACCUGGCCUUGACAUAGUAAGAACUUUCCAGAGAUGGAUUGGUGCCUUCGGGAACUUACAUACAGGUGCUGCAUGGCUGUCGUCAGCUCGUGUCGUGAGAUGUUGGGUUAAGUCCCGCAACGAGCGCAACCCUUUUCCUUAUUUGCCAGCGAGUAAUGUCGGGAACUUUAAGGAUACUGCCAGUAACAAACUGGAGGAAGGCGGGACGACGUCAAGUCGUCAUGGCCCUUACGGCCAGGGCUACACACGUGCUACAAUGGUCGGUACAAAGGGUUGCUACCUAGCGAUAGGAUGCUAAUCUCAAAAAGCCGAUCGUAGUCCGGAUUGGAGUCUGCAACUC
This 540-nucleotide ribosomal RNA is filed under the name uncultured bacterium. RNAcentral describes it as "bacterial SSU rRNA". It matches the Rfam family "Bacterial small subunit ribosomal RNA", at positions 774 to 1313 of the family's 1533-position model. The record is from RNAcentral.